GGAAAUGUGCCUGAAUAUCAAGGGCCACUAUGAUAAAGUGGACAUGGAGGUACACAAGCCCUCCCGUUUCCU
RNAcentral lists this transfer RNA (72 nucleotides) under Sporophila maximiliani (Great-billed seed-finch). RNAcentral describes it as "tRNA-Ile". The record is from RNAcentral. Lineage: Eukaryota; Metazoa; Chordata; Aves; Passeriformes; Thraupidae.